GGAGGGGGCAAGCGUUGUUCGGAAUUACUGGGCGUAAAGGGCGCGUAGGCGGUUGAGUAAGUUAGAUGUGAAAGCCCUCGGCUUAACCGGGGAACGGCAUCUAAAACUGCUUGGCUUGAGUACAGGAGAGGAGAGUGGAAUUCCCAGUGUAGCGGUGAAAUGCGUAGAUAUUGGGAAGAACACCGAUGGCGAAGGCAGCUUUCUGGACUGAUACUGACGCUGAGGCGCGAAAGCUAGGGGAGCGAACGGGGAUUAGAUACCCCGGUAGUCCUAGCCGUAAACGAUGGGCACUAGGUGUAGAAGGAAGUGAUUUUUUCUGUGCCGUAGCUAACGCAUUAAGUGCCCCGCCUGGGGAGUACGUUCGCAAGAAUG
RNAcentral lists this ribosomal RNA (372 nucleotides) under uncultured organism. RNAcentral describes it as "partial 16S ribosomal RNA". It matches the Rfam family "Bacterial small subunit ribosomal RNA", at positions 527 to 896 of the family's 1533-position model. The record is from RNAcentral.